AAACACUGCCUUUGAAACUCACAGGUCUUGGGCAUAGCUUCACAGUCAAGCAACAGUGUAGAGUCCAAGGGCUUGUUAUAAGGGCUCUUCAGCACUCAGCUGAACUGCUCUUUUAAAAACAAGGUACACUU
Non-coding RNA from Myotis brandtii (Brandt's bat), 131 nucleotides. The record is from Rfam. Lineage: Eukaryota; Metazoa; Chordata; Mammalia; Chiroptera; Vespertilionidae.